GCUGGACAAAGGGCCGAGGGGCCCUUGCUGCUGGCUCAGCAGCUGCCUCUGUGUGUUACCCACAACAGUGGCUACAGGUCGUCACAAGGCACACCAUCAAAAACACUGGGAAAGCAAGAUUCCCUUCUGCCUCCGCCGUCCCUCCGCAUCCUGCUAACCCCUCCAUCUCACGAGCAGUCGAGCUCCCUAAGUGUGAAGAAUUUGGUCUCCAAGCUGUGCUCCCCCACUGGCCGGGACCUGGGUGCCUCGCAGGUGGCAGCGGAGGCUGGUGGCCUGGCCCUGAGCGCUCAGGCCCUGAAGGAGAUGGCUGUGAGCACCAAGAGCAUUGCCCUCAUCGCAGCCACCCGGCGCUCCAAAGCACAGGACCGCGAGGGUGGCGGUGGCCGCUCCUCCAUCCGCCUUCUGGAGGAGGUGGCCCUGGACUCCAGGGACCCGAAGGCCAGUGUCACCCCAGACCCAAGCCCAGCAGACAGGAGGUGGCCCCUUGCCAGCCCGGGCAAGGACUGUUCUACGGAGAGGAAGGCCAGGAGGAAGCGGUCACCCUCCCUCACCUGGAGCGUGCAGACGGCAGCAGAGCAUGGGGCUGAGAGCCAGCCGUCCCCAGCAGUCCUGCAGCUCACCAAGUCAUCUGGAAAAAGCUUCUUCCCUCCCGUCCCCGCGGCCUCCAAGAUAAAACCCAGCCUCAGUUCCCACACAGAGGAGAAGAUGCUCCAGAUGCCCGAGGUCAGCUUCACCUUCCCCAGCGCCACGUGGCAGAGCAGCCCGGGCCCAAGCAGGGCCCCACUCUUGCCCCGGGACAUCCGAGGGUCUACGGAUAGUGGAGGCCGACACCACAGCCCACUGCCUCCCAGCACACCCCGCAAGCCCCGGGGCAGCGCCAAGCGGCCGAGAAGGCCACAAUGAGGAUGUCAGCCAGAAGGCCAGGCAUGCGAGGGAAGGCCGGAGAGGCCAGCCCCAGGCACAGGGCUCUCUCUGCCCUGGAGUUGGGUUCAAGAGACGGAGCCCUGGCAAGGACACUUCAGGGGGCAGCCAGCCAGCUUCCCACUGCUCUCUGUGCUGGCGGCUGCCUCACCAACCAUGUCAGAGGGAAGGCCGUUGAUGGAACAUCAGAGCCCUUCUGAAGGACAUCUCAGGAGGAGCCUCAGGCCUCGUUUGGGUCAUUCCCAGUUGUGAGUGAUCUUCCCAGGAUCACUCCAUCCCACAGUUUCUGCUCUGGGAGAACGGUUUCACUCUUCACCUGAUUGGGUGAGGCCCACCCACACUGUGGCAGGUCCUCUGCUGAACCCGACAUCUCCUUACUGAUGUAUUUAUUUUUUAAAGAUUUUAUUUGUUUGUUCAUGAGAGACACAGAGAGAGGCAGAGACACAGGUAGAGGGAGAAGCAGGGAGCCCGAUGCAGGACUUGAUCCCAGGACCCUGGGAUCACAACCUGGGCCAAAGGCAGAUGCUCAACCAUUGAGCCACCAGGGCACUUCUCCUUACUGAUUUAAAUGUUAAUCUCAUCUGAAGAACACCUUCACAGCACCACUGACUGCUGAUGUUUGAUGAAACGCCUGGGUAUCAUGGCCUGGCCAUGUUGAUGUUUCAAAUUCACCGUCACGCCCCAUGGGCCUUGGCCAGUAGAGUGACACCACCCUGUCCCCAUGUUCACAUAGGCUCUGGGGGAAGCCUGCAUUGGGGAAGCAUGAGAACACUCCCCAUUCUCGUGACCCAUCCAUCCUGUCACUGUGUUGUAACGUCCGUCCCCACACACCACGGCAUGGAGGACAUUGAAGCAGAAUCGUCAAGGAGCAUGAAGCCAGCCGUGUUAACCGGGAACCCAGAAAUUGAGGCCCUAACUUUUUGUCAAGACAGGAAAGUCUGGGAAACUCUGAGCACCACCCGUGGAGGGCUGAAUUAUCGCCUUCUCCAGCUGUGCUUUCAGCGCUUGCUGUGGCUUUCAAACCACUGCCUACAUCUCGGGCUCUCAGAGGCAUCCCCAUUUGGAGGCCAUGGGGACCAGAGCUACCUCCGAUGCAGCAUCCAGUGGAAUCUAUGGGUUUUAGGAAACAGCUUGUUAGCACAUUAGGGCUGGAAGGUGGAGGCGUGUUGUUGUCUCACGGCCUGAGCAGUCAGCAGGUUGGCUUGGACCUGUGUAUGCCUGGCACAUGGCAGACACCCUAUAAGUGUGCAAACUGCACAGCUGGAUGCCCUGCCCUCUCAUCGUAGGACCUGCGGUCAAGGAGGAGCUGCUGGGCCUUCUGGAAGAGUGUGUGGAGGUGGGGAAGUCAGUCCCACUUAUCUUUGGGGGCUCUGCUGUCUGCUUGGUGCAGACCUGCCAGGGGCACCCUCUGAUGCUCACUUCCCCUUCCCUGGGGGAAAUGCUGAGCCUGGGGGGCAAGGAUGACUUCUGCUUUCCUGCCCUGGCCCCAGAUCCUGGGUAGGGCAAGAGUUACUGGUUGCCCCCUAUAUCUGCUCACUUUGUUCCAGGAUAAUAGAACCCCUCAUUUUUAGCUAGUCAAACAGCUCACAAAAUAAGGACUGUAUUUCCCAGCCUCCUUUGUGGCUGUAUAUUGCCAUGUAACCAAGUGACAGAUGGGAUACAAGCAGCUGCUUCCAGGAAUCUUCACCACAAAGGAUAAUACGCAUUUUCCUCAUGCCUCUUUCCUUCUUCACUUCCUCAAUCAUACUGCCUGGAAUUUGGAUGUGAUGGCUGGAGCUCUAGCCACCGUUUUGAGGCCUUGAGGACAGAGGCCUUGAGGACAAAGGCCGUGCCCUCAGGAGGAUGGAGUGGGAAGCUGGAAGGAGCAGAGAUGCCUCUCAGCAUUGUUACACCCUACCCGCAGAUGAGAACUUGAGAGGAAUAAAUGUGUAUCCGAGGCUCA
Long non-coding RNA from Vulpes vulpes (red fox), 2863 nucleotides. NCBI's taxonomy places the organism in Eukaryota, Metazoa, Chordata, Mammalia, Carnivora, Canidae. The record is from Ensembl.